This is a non-coding RNA of Acanthosepion pharaonis, 84 nucleotides long. The record is from the annotation of a GenBank genome assembly. Lineage: Eukaryota; Metazoa; Mollusca; Cephalopoda; Sepiida; Sepiidae.
CAUUCUGAUCACCGAAGUUAAGCAACGUCGAGCCUGGUCUAUACCUAGAUGGGUAACAUCUUGGGAAUACCAGGUGCUGUAAGC